This 2169-nucleotide long non-coding RNA is filed under the name Brassica napus (rape). Its description in RNAcentral is "long non-coding RNA (BNAP_LNC013104)". The record is from RNAcentral. Lineage: Eukaryota; Viridiplantae; Streptophyta; Magnoliopsida; Brassicales; Brassicaceae.
CAAGAGCUUCCGCCCCGACUACAUCCUCGGAGAAGGCGGCUUCGGCACUGUCUACAAAGGCUACAUUGAUGACAAUCUCCGCCUUGGCCUCAAGUCUCUCCCUGUUGCCGUCAAGGUUCUUAACAAGGAAGGUCUCCAGGGACACCGUGAGUGGCUUACUGAAGUCAACUUCCUUGGCCAGCUCCGUCAUUACAACCUCGUUAAGCUUAUUGGUUACUGCUGUGAGGAUGAUCAUCGUUUGCUUGUUUAUGAGUUCAUGCUGAGAGGCAGCCUUGAGAAUCACCUCUUUCGAAGUAAACCCCCUUCUCCUCCGUUCAUAUUCUUGUCUAGUUUAUAAGUCAGACCAUACUGAUGAUGAGAAACCAGACAUGUGUUCUUAGCAAUGUCCUAAAGCUCGGUCUUAGCAUCCUGUUUAGGUGGCGAAUCAGUCAUAAACUAAACGGUUAUACUGGUCUAGGUGUGAGCUUAAGCAAUACUCCCUCGUAAAACAUCUAAUUACCGAUUUCUUAAACAAUGGUUACUAUCAUGGUAGUGUAUAAUUAACCAAGUCAGUAACCAUGGCCUCUCUCUACAGAAACCACAGCUCCGUUAUCUUGGUCUAGAAGGAUGAUGAUUGCUCUUGGGGCUGCAAAGGGCCUUGCUUUCCUGCACAACGCUGAAAGACCGGUUAUUUAUCGGGAUUUCAAGACUUCCAAUAUACUGCUUGACUCGGUAACUAGUGUUAUUCUUUUUUUCUUUUAUUGCUGCAAAUAUUGCGAAUACUUUCCCACAGCUUGUGUUGAACAUGCAGGACUACACAGCCAAGCUUUCGGAUUUUGGCUUGGCUAAAGCUGGGCCACAGGGUGAUGAAACCCAUGUGUCAACUCGAGUGAUGGGCACUUACGGCUAUGCUGCCCCUGAAUAUGUGAUGACUGGUAUGACAUGCAUAACCAUAGCUAGAUGUUUCCCCCUUAAACAUGGUCUGUGAUGGCAGCAAUGCUCAACUGUUUAUAUAAGUCCUAAAAAUAGAGUAGUUGCUUAAGUUGUUAACUAGAUGUCAUGUGGGAGCUCGCUUGCACCUCUACCUCUCUCUUUCACUAGAUUGCUAUUGUUUACCACAUAGUAUGUGGUAUGUAAGAUGUCGAACCAUGCAUCUAAAGACUCUCAAGCAUUACACAAAUACACACUGACUUGAUUUUGUUACUAAUGAACAAGGACACCUGACGGCCAGAAGUGAUGUGUACAGCUUUGGAGUUGUUCUUCUAGAGAUGUUGACUGGAAGAAAGUCAGUGGACAAGACGAGACCUAGAAAAGAGCAGAACCUGGUAGAUUGGGCACGGCCAAAGCUGAACGAUAAAAGAAAACUGCUGCAAAUAAUAGACCCGAGGCUGGAGAACCAAUACUCGGUCAAGGCAGCUCAGAAGGCAUGCAGCUUGGCGUAUUACUGUCUGAGUCAGAACCCCAAAGCUAGGCCGUUGAUGAGUGAUGUGAGCGCUCACGGUCUCUCUCUCUCUCUCUCUCUCUCUCUCUCUCUCUCUCUCUCUCUCUAACUUAACUCCCUUGAUUCUGAUCUAUCUUUCCACCUCGCAGCUCAACAGCUACAGAUGAAGCACUCACGCUCCGUCUCAGAUCUGAGCGAUCCAUCUACUCCCGACUCUCGCACUCCUCCUUCCGUCAUCCCUUUCACUCUCUUCGAGCUCGAGACCAUCACCAAGAGCUUCCGCCCCGACUACAUCCUCGGAGAAGGCGGCUUCGGCACUGUCUACAAAGGCUACAUUGAUGACAAUCUCCGCCUUGGCCUCAAGUCUCUCCCUGUUGCCGUCAAGGUUCUUAACAAGGAAGGUCUCCAGGGACACCGUGAGUGGCUUACUGAAGUCAACUUCCUCGGCCAGCUCCGUCAUUACAACCUCGUUAAGCUUAUUGGUUACUGCUGUGAGGAUGAUCAUCGUUUGCUUGUUUAUGAGUUCAUGCUGAGAGGCAGCCUUGAGAAUCACCUCUUUCGAAGUAAACCCCCUUCUCCUCCGUUCAUAUUCUUGUCUAGUUUAUAAGUCAGACCAUACUGAUGAUGAGAAACCAGACAUGUGUUCUUAGCAAUGUCCUAAAGCUCGGUCUUAGCAUCCUGUUUAGGUGGCGAAUCAGUCAUAAACUAAACGGUUAUACUGGUCUAGGUGUGAGCUUAAGCAAUACUCC